RNAcentral lists this ribosomal RNA (464 nucleotides) under uncultured bacterium. RNAcentral describes it as "partial 16S ribosomal RNA". It matches the Rfam family "Bacterial small subunit ribosomal RNA", at positions 29 to 507 of the family's 1533-position model. The record is from RNAcentral.
ACGAACGCUGGCGGCGUGCUUAACACAUGCAAGUCGAACGGAAAGGCCCCUUUGGGGGUACUCGAGUGGCGAACGGGUGAGUAACACGUGAGUAACCUGCCCUUGACUUCGGGAUAACUUCAGGAAACUGGGGCUAAUACCGGAUAGGAAUCCUUGCUGCAUGGUGGGGGUUGGAAAGCUUCGGCGGUUUUGGAUGGACUCGCGGCUUAUCAGCUUGUUGGUGGGGUAGUGGCUUACCAAGGCCUUGACGGGUAGCCGGCCUGAGAGGGCGACCGGCCACAUUGGGACUGAGAUACGGCCCAGACUCCGACGGGAGGCAGCAGUGGGGAAUAUUGCACAAUGGGCGGAAGCCUGAGGCAGCAACGCCGCGGGCGGGAUGACGGCCUUCGGGUUGUAACCCGCUUUCAGCAGGGGCGAAGCUUGUGGUGACGGUACCUGCAGAAGAAGCACCGGCUAACUACGUG